CCUCCCCACGUUCACUCUACGCCACUGUUCUCCUUUCACAAGCACUUCUUCAUACACCCAGCGCCCAGCCCGGUACGGCCACCCAACCAGACCCUUCUCUCACGUGUUCCACGGCAAUGGCGAACCCUAUUCUCGCAGGAAACGGCAACUCUCCUGAUCUCGGCCCAUCGUCUGCUCUUAUCUUCCUCGGGACUGGGUGCUCCAGCGCCGUUCCCAACGCAAGGUGCCUGAUCCAGCCGUCCGAUCCCCCCUGCAACAUCUGCUUCCAGGCAUUGUCGGUCCCACCAAUGCAGAAUCCUAAUUACAGGUGCAACACAUCCCUUCUAAUUGAUUAUUGUGAAAGAGAGGGUAAUCACAGCUAUAUAUUGAUUGAUGUUGGGAAGACUUUUAGGGAGCAAGUACUUCGGUGGUUUACCCUCCAUAAGAUUCCUAGAGUGGAUUCUAUUAUUUUGACUCAUGAACAUGCUGAUGCAGUUCUUGGUUUGGAUGACAUACGUGCUGUGCAACCCUAUAGUCCUACAAAUGAUAUUGAUCCCACUCCCAUAUACCUAACUCAGCAUGCAAUGGAAAGCAUUUUGGAGAAAUUUCCAUACUUGGUUCAGAAGAAACUUAAAGAAGGUCAAGAAGUGAGGCGGGUAGCACAGCUUGACUGGAAGAUAAUAGAGAACGACUGUGAAAAACCUUUUUCUGCAUCAGGCCUGGAAGUUGUUCCUUUGCCAGUGAUGCAUGGAGAAGAUUACAUAUGUUUGGGUUUCCUCUUUGGUGACAAGUGUAGAGUAGCUUAUAUAUCUGAUGUUUCACGCUUUCCUCCGAAGACAGAGUAUGUUAUUUCGAAAAAUGGUGCUGGACAGUUGGAUAUUCUUAUAUUGGAUACAUUGUAUAAGAAAGGAUCCCAUAAUACCCACUUUUGCUUGCCACAGACACUUGAAGCUGUGAAGAGGAUAUGUCCUAAGCAAGCCCUGUUAAUUGGAAUGACUCAUGAGUUUGAUCACCACAAGGACAAUGAAUUUCUGAUGGAGUGGUCCAAAAGGGAAGGAAUACCUGUGAUGCUUGCGCGUGAUGGUUUGAGAAUCCCUAUAGACCUAUGAUACGGAGCCAUUGGACUGGGGGAUUUUUUCCUUGAAUUACCCCAAGUGCACUUGUGGGAAACUCCUUGCUGAGGACCUGUGCACCCCCAGGAUUAGUCGGGACGCUGUUCUCGGACACCUGGUGCCAGAAAAAAAAGUAGUUAUGAAGAGCUGAGUGGGAACAAUGAGCUCAGUGGUGAUGCUGAAGAGUCAGGUGGUUGAUGAGCACUGAAUUAAAGUGAAGAUAUCUACAUACAGUUUCCAUCCCUUGUUGGGUUUUCAGAAACUAUGGCGCAAUGAUAUUAGUGUCAGACUAAUAAAAAAAAUGAUAGUAGUGUCAGAUUAUUUCUAUUGUCAACAACUUCAUGAAGAUUUAGAGCAACUUUUACAGGGUUGUGCGGAAAGUGGUUUUUAUAUUAAUAGCCGUGGGGUAGAAGUGAUUUGAAUUUGUAUGUUUGAAGAACAUAUUAGUACUUAGUUUAUAGUGUAUUUCCAAACAAAUCUUUCUUGGAUUUGUCAAAGUUCAAAAUAAGAGGAAGUUUUCAGAUUGCAAGAGAAGUGAAUAUAAGUGUGCAAGCAUAGCAAGAAUGUUGAGAUGGUUAUUAUUAUGAUUAAUUUGUCAAGUACAAAAUCCAUGAGUUGAGAUGGUUUGUUUCAUA
RNA transcript from Juglans microcarpa x Juglans regia, 1726 nucleotides. It is a transcript of the gene named putative hydrolase C777.06c, with no coding region annotated. The transcript has 11 exons. The record is from RefSeq and is a predicted model, not a curated record. NCBI's taxonomy places the organism in Eukaryota, Viridiplantae, Streptophyta, Magnoliopsida, Fagales, Juglandaceae.